Molecule: ribosomal RNA, 403 nt
Filed under: uncultured bacterium
Lineage: Bacteria
Description: partial 16S ribosomal RNA
Rfam family: Bacterial small subunit ribosomal RNA
Source: RNAcentral
AUUGAACGCUGGCGGCAGGCCUAACACAUGCAAGUCGAGCGAGCGGCGGACGGGUGAGUAAUGUAUGGGGACUGACCGCUAGAGGGGGAUAACUACUGGAAACGGUGGCUAAUACCGCAUACUAUCGGAUAAUCCAUAUGGGAUUAGCUAGUAGGGGGGGUAAAGGCUCACCGAGGCGACGAUGCGUAGCUGGUCUGAGAGGAUGAUCAGCCACACUGGGACUGAGGCACGGCCCAGACUCCUACGGAGUCAGCAGUGUGGAAUAUUGCACAAUGGGCGCAAGCCUGAUCCAGCCAUGCCGCGUGUAUGAAGAAGGCCUUAGGGUUGUAAAGUACUUUCAGCGGGGAGGCGUUACCCGCAGAAGAAGCACCGGCUAACUCCGUGCCAGCAGCCGCGGUAAUUC